RNAcentral lists this long non-coding RNA (2112 nucleotides) under Fukomys damarensis (Damara mole-rat). RNAcentral's name for it is "lncRNA (ENSFDAG00000033551.1)". The record is from RNAcentral. Lineage: Eukaryota; Metazoa; Chordata; Mammalia; Rodentia; Bathyergidae.
CAUGGUUUUUGUGAUCUUCCAGAAGCAGAAGAUCCUGUUCUGCCUGAACAUGCACUUGUGGCUGUCCUCCCGGUAACAUCUGGAAAUGGCUCAGAACCUGAAGGUGGGGACCACCUGAGAACCUGUACACCAGGUGGCCUAGGUCAUGCAUGAAGAGGCCGGCAGGGCUGGCAUGGCAGCAUUAAAGGAGACCCUCAGAGCCACUGGCUGGCACACAGGACCAGGGAGGACAGUCCUAAUAUCCCUGAUUACUUUCCAUGGCUCUGCCAAGCCCAGCUCCAGGUGCCUCUUUCUACCGCGCCCACUGAUCCAGACCCCAUCACAUGCGUCCCACUGGGCGCUGUACUGGUUGGACUUCAUUCUUCUGGUCUCUGCAGGAUAUUGCUGAAUGGUGGCCCCAAAGACAUGUGCAUAUCCCAGUGCCCAGAACCUUGGAAUGGGGCUUUAUUUGAAAAAAAAAAGGUCUUCAAUGAUGUUAUCAGAUUAAGGAUUCUAAAUUGAAGUCACCCUGAAUUAGUCACACAGGUCCUAAAUGCAAUGGUGAGUGUCCUUAUAGGAGUGGGGAGAGGGGCUGGUGCAUAACAGAGGAGGCCACUGGGCCACAGAGGCAGGAGAGAUACCAGGCGUGCUGCCUGGAGUUGGAAGGAACAGGAAGGGUCCUCCCUUGGCUCUCUGGAGGGAGUGCAGCCCUAAGGCACCUUGAUUUGGGCCUUCUGGCCUCUAAGUGUGAGAACACAUUCCUAUUGCCCUAAGUCACCCCAGCCUGUGAUCCUUUGUUACAACAGCCCCAGCAGACUUGGGUCUCCUGAGGGUUGAGGAGGAGCCUGAGGGACAGUGAGGUCAUGAGAGGUGCUUGAGAAUGCACAGUUCAGCACACACCUGAGCCAAGUUCCUUGUCUCCCUCUUUCCCAGUAAGAUGCCAGGCCAGUCAGGAGCCCAGUGGGCUCCCGGUCACCACUGUAGUUUGCCCUCCAGUAAGCUUCCAAGACACCCUGUCCUCUAGCUAACCUGGCUCCACUGUGGUUUCACAGGUCCACACCGUGACCUUCUCUUUGGCUCACAGGCACCCUUACCUAUGGUCACACACCUCCUACACUCAGCCAGCUCCAAAACCACGCAUAGCCCUCCUCUCCAACGGGCUUUUGGUUGCCUCUGUCUCUGUCUUCCCUCAGGACUCCAGGUUAAGGUCUAGGCCACAUGCAGCUAGACAGAGUCACACCUGCUCCUCUAUCAGACUUUCUCUGUGGAUACGCUUGACUAGAUUAUGACCGUACCACAGAAACGUAAGCAUUAACAAAAGUAUAUGCUAUUUUAAAUCAUUAGAUGUCCUGCAAAGCAUUCCUUCCUAUAGUCUCUGUGACAGAAUGCUAGUGCCCCUGCAACAGAGAGCUUUAUUUCCAUUUUACUGAUGAGCAAAUGGAAGCCUAGUGACUUUCUCAAGGUCAUAACCCAAGGUCAGCAGCAAAGGUAGGGUGGGAUCUUAAAAAAAUCUACUCAUUUGUUCCAUAAAAAAAUUAUGUAUAGAUAGUUCCUGAGGUACAACUUUUGACUUUAUAAUCAUGCAAACACAAUUUGUACUCAGUAGAAGUAAUACUUUGGGUACUGAGCUUUGAUCUUUUCCUGGGAUAGCCAUGUGUGGUCUGAUACUCUUAGUAUCUGGGGCAAGGAAGGAGGGCCAGGCAGCCUUCCAACAGCCCCUUCUCCAAAGCCAGCCUGAAGGCCAUCCAGAAAGCUGACUCCCAAAUCCCAAGGCCAUUCUGUAAAUGACCACUGAUUACUCAGUUGUCUGCCAGGGCCAUGACAAGACAACUCAGAUCCCCAGCUUCCCGAUGUCCUCGUAGAGAGACAAGGACGGAUCCCAAGAACACUAGGCUGUGAAAGGACUUUUCUACCAGCACAAAACAAGAUCACACUCUCCAGGCUGGUAAUUGUCCAGGUCCUGCCUUCCCUGCCUUCAGGCAGCAGUGAGGCUCCGAGGCCAGCGCUCUAGCUCUUUAAAGUAACGUUAACCAUAGUGUGGAGCUCAUCUGCUCUACCCAGGGCCACCGUCCUGACCUUAGCCCAAGCGUGGCCUCUGGUUUCCACAUCUGAACAGCACGGGUCCACCUGGCC